GAUGAACGCUAGCUACAGGCUUAACACAUGCAAGUCGAGGGGUAACGAGAGGAAAGCUUGCUUUCCUUGUCGACGACCGGCGCACGGGUGAGUAACGCGUAUCCAACCUGCCCCCAACUAGGGAAUAACCUUGCGAAAGUAAGACUAAUACCCUAUAAUUUCCUCAGAUGUCAUCUGACGAGGAAUAAAGAUUUAUCGGUUGUGGAUGGGGAUGCGUCUGAUUAGCUUGUUGGCGGGGUAACGGCCCACCAAGGCAACGAUCAGUAGGGGUUCUGAGAGGAAGGGCCCCCACAUUGGAACUGAGACACGGUCCAAACUCCUACGGGAGGCAGCAGUGAGGAAUAUUGGUCAAUGGGCGGAAGCUUGAACCAGCCAAGUAGCGUGCAGGAUGACGGCCCUAUGGGUUGUAAACUGCUUUUAUACAGGAAUAAAGUUAACCACGUGUGGUUAUUUGUAGGUACUGUAUGAAUAAGGACCGGCUAAUUCCGUGCCAGCAGCCGCCGUAA
RNAcentral lists this ribosomal RNA (506 nucleotides) under uncultured bacterium. RNAcentral's name for it is "partial 16S ribosomal RNA". It matches the Rfam family "Bacterial small subunit ribosomal RNA", at positions 28 to 523 of the family's 1533-position model. The record is from RNAcentral.